CAUGCAAGUCGAACGGAAAGUGCCCAGCUUGCUGGGUGACUCGAGUGGCGAACGGGUGAGUAACACGUGGGUGAUCUGCCCUGCACUUUGGGAUAAGCCUGGGAAACUGGGUCUAAUACCGAAUACACCCUGCUGGUCGCAUGGCCUGGUGGGGGAAAGCUUUUGCGGUGUGGGAUGGGCCCGCGGCCUAUCAGCUUGUUGGUGGGGUGAUGGCCUACCAAGGCGACGACGGGUAGCCGGCCUGAGAGGGUGUCCGGCCACACUGGGACUGAGAUACGGCCCAGACUCCUACGGGAGGCAGCAGUGGGGAAUAUUGCACAAUGGGCGCAAGCCUGAUGCAGCGACGCCGCGUGAGGGAUGACGGCCUUCGGGUUGUAAACCUCUUUCGCUCACGACGAAGCGCAAGUGACGGUAGUGAGAGAAGAAGGACCGGCCAACUACGUGCCAGCAGCCGCGGUAAUACGUAGGGUCCGAGCGUUGUCCGGAAUUACUGGGCGUAAAGAGCUCGUAGGUGGUUUGUCGCGUUGUUCGUGAAAACUCACA
RNAcentral lists this ribosomal RNA (543 nucleotides) under uncultured Mycobacterium sp. RNAcentral's name for it is "bacterial SSU rRNA". It matches the Rfam family "Bacterial small subunit ribosomal RNA", at positions 54 to 606 of the family's 1533-position model. The record is from RNAcentral. Lineage: Bacteria; Bacillati; Actinomycetota; Actinomycetes; Mycobacteriales; Mycobacteriaceae.